GGCUCCAUAAAACAGUUGUAACCUAUCGCCGCGUGAUAACCUAUACGGAUAUCCUCGGUAAUUCUGAGGCUAAUACGUGAAAAUUGAUCCUUAAUCUCGGGCAACUGAGAGAGAGGACGCUGAGCACCCCUUAUCAACCGACUUUCGGUGUGAAUACGGGCUCAGCAUGACCGCGCAAGCGGCAGCUGGCGCUUUGCUUCUGACCUAUCAACUCACGAUGCAGGCGUAAAGCACAAACAUGGUAACAACGGGUACAGAGGAUAAGGGUUCGAU
This 273-nucleotide ribosomal RNA is filed under the name uncultured myxomycete. Its description in RNAcentral is "partial small subunit ribosomal RNA". It matches the Rfam family "Eukaryotic small subunit ribosomal RNA", at positions 95 to 381 of the family's 1831-position model. The record is from RNAcentral. Lineage: Eukaryota; Evosea; Eumycetozoa.